Molecule: ribosomal RNA, 427 nt
Filed under: uncultured bacterium
Lineage: Bacteria
Description: bacterial SSU rRNA
Rfam family: Bacterial small subunit ribosomal RNA
Source: RNAcentral
UGGGGAAUCUUGGUCAAUGGGCGCAAGCCUGAACCAGCGACGCCGCGUGAGUGAUGAAGGCCUUCGGGUUGUAAAGCUCUGUGGGGAGGGACGAAAGAGCACGUUCUAACAGGACGUGUGUUGACGGUACCUCCUUAGCAAGCACCGGCUAACUCUGUGCCAGCAGCCGCGGUAAGACAGAGGGUGCAAACGUUGCUCGGAAUCACUGGGCGUAAAGGGCGUGUAGGCGGACUUGCAAGUCAGGCGUGAAAUCCCUGGGCUCAACCCAGGAAUUGCACUUGAAACUGCAAGCCUUGAGUGUCGGAGAGGAAAGUGGAAUUCCUGGUGUAGAGGUGAAAUUCGUAGAUAUCAGGAGGAACACCGGUGGCGAAGGCGGCUUUCUGGACGACAACUGACGCUGAGACGCGAAAGCGUGGGGAGCAAACAG